This 327-nucleotide unclassified non-coding RNA is filed under the name soil metagenome. RNAcentral's name for it is "partial contains 5.8S ribosomal RNA, internal transcribed spacer 2, and large subunit ribosomal RNA". The stretch from base 1 to 120 matches the Rfam family "5.8S ribosomal RNA", at positions 35 to 154 of the family's 154-position model. The record is from RNAcentral.
GAUGAAGAACGCAGCGAAAUGCGAUAAGUAAUGUGAAUUGCAGAAUUCAGUGAAUCAUCGAAUCUUUGAACGCACAUUGCGCCCGCCAGUAUUCUGGCGGGCAUGCCUGUUCGAGCGUCAUUAUAACCCCUCAAGCUCAGCUUGGUGUUGGGGCCUGCCGACUGGCAGCCCUUAAAAUCAGUGGCGGCGCCAUCUGGCUCUAAGCGUAGUAAUUUCUCUCGCUAUAGAGUCCCGGUGGAUGCUUGCCAGCAACCCCCAACUUUCUAUGGUUGACCUCGGAUCAGGUAGGGAUACCCGCUGAACUUAAGCAUAUCAAUAAGCGGAGGA